CCUACGGGAGGCAGCAGUGGGGAAUAUUGGACAAUGGGCGAAAGCCUGAUCCAGCCAUGCCGCGUGUGUGAAGAAGGUCUUCGGAUUGUAAAGCACUUUAAGUUGGGAGGAAGGGCAGUAAAUUAAUACUUUGCUGUUUUGACGUUACCGACAGAAUAAGCACCGGCUAACUCUGUGCCAGCAGCCGCGGUAAUACAGAGGGUGCAAGCG
RNAcentral lists this ribosomal RNA (210 nucleotides) under uncultured bacterium. RNAcentral's name for it is "partial 16S ribosomal RNA". It matches the Rfam family "Bacterial small subunit ribosomal RNA", at positions 338 to 540 of the family's 1533-position model. The record is from RNAcentral.